RNAcentral lists this ribosomal RNA (479 nucleotides) under uncultured bacterium. RNAcentral describes it as "partial 16S ribosomal RNA". It matches the Rfam family "Bacterial small subunit ribosomal RNA", at positions 28 to 507 of the family's 1533-position model. The record is from RNAcentral.
GAUGAACGCUGGCGGCGUGCUUAACACAUGCAAGUCGAACGAAGCACCUUGAUUCGAUUCUUCGGAUGAAGAUCUUGGUGCCUGAGUGGCGGACGGGUGAGUAACGCGUGGGUAACCUGCCUCAUACAGGGGGAUAACAGUUAGAAAUGACUGCUAAUACCGCAUAAGACCACAGCACCGCAUGGUGCAGGGGUAAAAACUCCGGUGGUAUGAGAUGGACCCGCGUCUGAUUAGGUAGUUGGUGGGGUAACGGCCUACCAAGCCGACGAUCAGUAGCCGACCUGAGAGGGUGACCGGCCACAUUGGGACUGAGACACGGCCCAAACUCCUACGGGAGGCAGCGGUGGGGAAUAUUGCACAAUGGGGGAAACCCUGAUGCAGCGACGCCGCGUGAGCGAUGAAGUAUUUCGGUAUGUAAAGCUCUAUCAGCAGGGAAGAAAAUGACGGUACCUGACUAAGAAGCACCGGCUAAAUACGUG